AACCUGUGAGUCUUAUUUUUCCGUCAUGGGAGACAGCCUGACCUCAAGAAUUCUCCACUCCAACACCAAAACUCUAAUGGAAGAGACAGAUUGGCCUGAGCCAGAGGUCCCCCUCCCUGGACUAAUCAGCGAUGCCUAAGGAUGGGGUCACAGGAUGCAGACAAGCAGCAAAAACCAUGCACCUCAGAAAGCAGACAACCUGGACACACAAACUUCAAACAUCCUGGACUCGGUGUCUGGCACUGAGAUGUUUCUGGCGGCAAUUGAGCUGCACCAAGGUUCGCUGAGAUGUUUU
RNAcentral lists this long non-coding RNA (295 nucleotides) under Ictidomys tridecemlineatus (thirteen-lined ground squirrel). Its description in RNAcentral is "lncRNA (ENSSTOG00000031018.1)". The record is from RNAcentral. Lineage: Eukaryota; Metazoa; Chordata; Mammalia; Rodentia; Sciuridae.